AUUGAACGCUGGCGGCAGGCCUAACACAUGCAAGUCGAACGGUAACAGGAAGAAGCUUGCUUCUUUGCUGACGAGUGGCGGACGGGUGAGUAAUGUCUGGGAAACUGCCUGAUGUAGGGUGAUAACUACUGGAAACGGUAGCUAAUACCGCAUAACGUCGCAAGACCAAAGAGGGGGACCUUCUGGCCUCUUGCCAUCGGAUUUGCCCAGAUGGGAUUAGCUAGUAGGUGGGGUAACGGCUCACCUAGGCGACGAUCCCUAGCUGGUCUGAGAGGAUGACCAGCCACACUGGAACUGAGCCACGGUCCAGACUCCUACGGGAGGCAGCAGUGGGGAAUAUUGGACAAUGGGCGCAAGCAUGAUGCAGCCAUGCCGCGUGUAUGAAGAAGGCCUUCGGGUUGUAAAGUACUUUCAGCGGGGAGGAAGGGAGUAAAGUUAAUACCUUUACUCAUUGACGUUACCCGCAGAAGAAGCACCGGCUAACUCCGUG
Molecule: ribosomal RNA, 490 nt
Filed under: uncultured bacterium
Lineage: Bacteria
Description: partial 16S ribosomal RNA
Rfam family: Bacterial small subunit ribosomal RNA
Source: RNAcentral